Molecule: non-coding RNA, 29 nt
Filed under: Mus musculus (house mouse)
Lineage: Eukaryota; Metazoa; Chordata; Mammalia; Rodentia; Muridae
Source: RNAcentral
UGCACAUGCGCACGUUUAUGCAAGUUUGU